ACGCUCGACACCUACGGGAAGCAGCAGUGGGGAAUAUUGCACAAUGGGGGAAACCCUGAUGCAGCAACGCCGCGUGAAGGAAGACGGUUUUCGGAUUGUAAACUUCUGUUCUUAGUGAAGAUAGUGACGGUAGCUAAGGAGCAAGCCACGGCUAACUACGUGCAGCAGCCGCGGUAAUCUGAGCGGGCUGGCAAGGC
Molecule: ribosomal RNA, 197 nt
Filed under: uncultured bacterium
Lineage: Bacteria
Description: partial 16S ribosomal RNA
Rfam family: Bacterial small subunit ribosomal RNA
Source: RNAcentral